UUGAGCUGAGGAUGAGUUAAAGUUAUCCCUGUCUGAAAUGACUUCUUUAGUGAGGAGUACUGACUUCCUGAGGCUCAG
Small nucleolar RNA from Nycticebus coucang (slow loris), 78 nucleotides. RefSeq annotates it as small nucleolar RNA R38. Lineage: Eukaryota; Metazoa; Chordata; Mammalia; Primates; Lorisidae. The transcript has a single exon. The record is from RefSeq and is a predicted model, not a curated record.